AUACUGAAAUGCAUGGUGGGAAAUCAGUGUGAAAUUCAUUGGCUGUUCCUGCAACGGUAAUAGUCCGAGCGCCACCCAGUAG
This 82-nucleotide non-coding RNA is filed under the name unclassified sequences. The record is from Rfam.